UAUUCAGGGCUGGAUCGGGCCUGCGCUGGUUUUUGCCGCGGUGAUAUUUCUGAGCAAUGAUUAUCACCGGGUGAAAAUACAGCACAGGCCCUUUCGGUCCUU
Caenorhabditis brenneri is the source of this 102-nucleotide non-coding RNA. Lineage: Eukaryota; Metazoa; Nematoda; Chromadorea; Rhabditida; Rhabditidae. The record is from Rfam.